GUUGUAGCUCAGUAGUAGAGCGCUUGCCUAGUAUGUGUGAGGCCCUGGGUUCAAUCCUCAGCACUACA
RNAcentral lists this transfer RNA (68 nucleotides) under Marmota monax (woodchuck). Its description in RNAcentral is "tRNA.Thr". The stretch from base 3 to 63 matches the Rfam family "tRNA", at positions 6 to 65 of the family's 71-position model. From Rfam's summary of the family: Transfer RNA (tRNA) molecules are approximately 80 nucleotides in length. Their secondary structure includes four short double-helical elements and three loops (D, anti-codon, and T loops). The record is from RNAcentral. Lineage: Eukaryota; Metazoa; Chordata; Mammalia; Rodentia; Sciuridae.